This is a long non-coding RNA of Melospiza melodia melodia, 491 nucleotides long. RefSeq lists it as uncharacterized. NCBI's taxonomy places the organism in Eukaryota, Metazoa, Chordata, Aves, Passeriformes, Passerellidae. The record is from RefSeq and is a predicted model, not a curated record. The transcript is spliced from 3 exons.
CAGGCCUCUUCAGCACUUCAGAUCCCAAGUGAAACAAGAAAUGGGAGGAUGCAGAGCAAAGCCCAUGAGUACACAGAAUUGGGAAUAGCUGCCAGCCAGAGCUGCUCUGAGGGAAAGGCAGUGGCUGUGUACCUGCCCUGCUCAGGGAGGACAGGAGAACAAUUAAAUGGUUUACCUUCCUCAGAAUAAGUACUUUCCUGAAACAUGGCUGGAAAGAAAGAAAGAAUCCUAUUGGCAUUCCCACUGGUGAAAGUCAGAACAUAAGGGUUUGGAUCCCAUCCAGUAACAGAACUAAAUCCAGUCCUGUGUCAAGAUGAUGCCAGGGGGUUGCAGAUGCCAAGCACAGGUAAGAAGGGACUCUGCAUUACCACUACUGUCUUCUCUCUGCUUUCUUCUGCACUCCUAUUUGUGAGAAUUCUCCCCUGCUUUCUCCAAGUCAGUGGGAUUCCCAACAAGUUUUCAGCAAGAACAGGAAUAACAAUGACUGCAGG